Molecule: ribosomal RNA, 427 nt
Filed under: uncultured bacterium
Lineage: Bacteria
Description: bacterial SSU rRNA
Rfam family: Bacterial small subunit ribosomal RNA
Source: RNAcentral
UGGGGAAUUUUGGACAAUGGGCGAAAGCCUGAUCCAGCCAUGCCGCGUGAGUGAAGAAGGCCUUCGGGUUGUAAAGCUCUUUUAGUCGGAAAGAAAGAGUUGCAAUGAAUAAUUGUGAUUUAUGACGGUACCGACAGAAAAAGCACCGGCUAACUACGUGCCAGCAGCCGCGGUAAUACGUAGGGUGCGAGCGUUAAUCGGAAUUACUGGGCGUAAAGGGUGCGCAGGCGGUCUUGCAAGUCAGAUGUGAAAGCCCCGGGCUUAACCUGCGAAUUGCGUUUGAAACUACAAGGCUAGCGUGCAGCAGAGGGGAGUGGAAUUCCAUGUGUAGCAGUGAAAUGCGUAGAGAUGUGGAAGAACACCGAUGGCGAAGGCAGCUCCCUGGGUUGACACUGACGCUCAUGCACGAAAGCGUGGGGAGCAAACA